GAAAAUCUGUUAUGAGUAUGUUAGGAUUAGGAAUAUAUACUUCAGCUUAAUCCACACUUAAUCACAAUUAGCAGAAAUGAAGCGAAAUUAGUGAAAAAUGAGUUGUGUGUACAGAAUUUGGAAAAUAAUCAACUUAACAACCAAAAGACAGCCUCACACAGUGAAAAAUACUCAAAAAACUGAAUUUUCGCGCGAGCGGUCGACUCAUAGCCUGCUAUGCGUCGACCAUAGGCUGCUAUGCGUCGACCAUAGGCUGCUAUGCGUCGACCCGAGGCCUAUGCGCUGACCCUUAUGGUCGACCAUAGCCUGCUAUGCGCUGACCCGUGGUCUAUGCGCUGACCCCUAUGGUCGACCAUAGGUCAGCUCAAAAAANAAUGAUAUACAAAUGCAAUACAUGCUUGGUGAUCAAGAAACACACUCAUAAGGUAUCCCACCCACUAGGAGGGAAGCUAGGGUAUGCAAUG
This 464-nucleotide long non-coding RNA is filed under the name Lathyrus oleraceus (garden pea). RNAcentral's name for it is "Pisum sativum (pea) long non-coding RNA (PSAT_LNC008198)". Lineage: Eukaryota; Viridiplantae; Streptophyta; Magnoliopsida; Fabales; Fabaceae. The record is from RNAcentral.